GAUGGUGCCAACGCACCAAUCCAAAAGCCCUUCUUUUUCUUCUUCUUUGCAGAUGGUGCCAAGUCACAGACGCAACACAGAGACCUCAGUCCCUUCUCCCUUCUCCCUUCUCUCUUCUCCCUUCUCCCUCCUUCCUCAUUCCCACAACUUUUAAUUAUUUUUCGAUAUCUCUCUCUCUCUCCUCCCUGCUCGUCACUCUCUUCAGAUCCCACUCUCUCUGCAAAUCCCAAAUUCCCAAUCGCCCCUCUCUCUCUCUCUCUCUCUAAAAUCCAUUCCGUCAGGGAAUCAAAAUCCCAUCUUUUUCAUUCACAUACAAAACCCACACACAUAUUUAUAGAUCUGCUGCUCCUCCUCCCAUGGCUUUCACCGGGAAUCAAAAUCCGCCGCCGCAACAGCAACCGCCGCCCUCGGCCGCUGCUGCGUCGUUUCCCGCCGCUUCCACUCCCUCGUCCCCCAAGUAGAAAACGUUGUCGUCCGUGUCGACUGCUCCGCCUCCUCAUCUUCCUCCUCCGACAAGUCUCUGACCCCCUAGAUCGGAGUCUAGGGUCCUGUUUUACAGUCGGCCGGAGCUGUAGAAGCUUCGGCGUUCUUCUCCGAGUAGUAGUUCAAAAAAUAUAGCGAUAUUUUGACGAAAACCAUUUGGAUACCUAUUUAAAUAUCCAUUGCGCGAAAAACCGAUAAUAUCGGCGAUGUUUCGCCGAUAUUAUCGGCAUUUUCUUCCAUGCUCACACCUAAAAUUAUUGUAAAUUAGAUCUUAAAAUCGUUCAUUUGAGACCAAUUGAUUUGCUCGAUUUCAGGGAGAAGCCACACGAUCUAUCCCAGUUUUCUUCUAAAAUCGACCAAAUCUACAGAAACCUUUUGUCGCAGAUUGUGACUAUGCAUUCGUGUUUGUGCUCAUGUGCUGUGACCAUGGCUGAGCCUAUGGAGUUUUUAACAGAGCGAAUUUUUGGAGAGGAUAGUACUCAGACCGUACUUAUUGAUGGUUCGACUAACAAUCCGGUUCCGUUGGAUGUGCUGAGCCACAAUAAUUUGUUGCUGUUCCUUUCGAACCUUACCAAUAUUUCUGACUGAUAUUGAAGCUCUCAAGAUCGUUAAUGAGGGAAUAAAAGCAUAUGACAAAUCUAACAUUGUGUGGAUCCCCGUUGUGAAGCAGUGGACUGAUGAACUGCGAAACAAGUUCGAGAUCUUGAGAAGGAAGAUGCGGUGCGUGGUACAUAGUGCAGUGUUCGUCAAACUUAACGGCUGGCAACAAAUUCAUCGAGAACAUGUGGUAUUUCAGGCGUAAACCUGUGGUGGUGGUGAUGAACAAACAAGGUAUGGUGAAAAAUCUAGAUGUUCUCCCCUUCUAAUGGUGUAUCACGGUAAUUCUUCAAUAAGCCCAGCAAAUUUAUGUUGUUGCAAAUGUACAUUUCACCUUCAGGUGAGAGUGACUUAACAAUUAAACUGUCAUAAAUCACACACAUCAAACCACUUUGACAGUUUGUGUUCAGCACUCAUCAACUGCAUUCAUAUGAGACAUCUGAAAGUUAAAAAGACUCAUGGGAUGAAACUAGCGUCCAUAAUGCACAGGAUAAAAACCACCAACCAGUCUCAAAAUAAACUUAUUCUCUCAAUAAGAACUAUAAGAACUAGAAAAUUAACACAAAAGAGAUCAGAAGUUACUCAAAAGGAUAUUAACAUACCAAAGUUACAGUAACAAGG
Molecule: non-coding RNA, 1701 nt
Organism: Malus domestica (apple)
Lineage: Eukaryota; Viridiplantae; Streptophyta; Magnoliopsida; Rosales; Rosaceae
Source: RefSeq, a predicted model, not a curated record